AGAAGGAUAAAGGGGUGCUAGACUGUAGUCUAGCUGAGAUGAGACCCUCAACACCUGAUCCGGGUAAUACCGGCGUAGGGAUUUUCCACCAUAGACAG
RNAcentral lists this non-coding RNA (98 nucleotides) under Porphyromonas sp. COT-290 OH860. RNAcentral describes it as "TPP riboswitch aptamer (THI element)". It matches the Rfam family "TPP riboswitch aptamer (THI element)". From Rfam's summary of the family: Vitamin B(1) in its active form thiamin pyrophosphate (TPP) is an essential coenzyme that is synthesised by coupling of pyrimidine and thiazole moieties in bacteria. The previously detected thiamin-regulatory element, thi box was extended, resulting in a new, highly conserved RNA secondary structure, the THI element, which is widely distributed in eubacteria and also occurs in some archaea. Lineage: Bacteria; Pseudomonadati; Bacteroidota; Bacteroidia; Bacteroidales; Porphyromonadaceae. The record is from Rfam by way of RNAcentral. RNAcentral also lists the same sequence under 1 other name.